UUAACUGCCACCUGACAACCAACAUUCAAAGUUUUCGUUUUUCUUUUUCUUUUAUCCAAUUUCUACCUUCAAAAACCUCUUCUUAUAAGUACAAAACUUUCUUCCAACAAAAACUAAAAAUUUCAUCUGCUACUUCCAAAAAAGAAAAAAACUUUGCUUGUCAAUCUGCUCAUUAGUCGCUUUACAAGUUCUAACUCUGUUGCAGUUUCAGAGUUUCAAAAAAGCAUGGCAUCAGAUCAUGAGCAACCCGGGCUUUCCUCUCUUGGAAAGACUUCUGGUGAGAUUGGUUCAGAACAUGAACCUCUUAUUAACGGAACUCACAUUUCUGAAAGCUAUUCUGCUUCUGCUGCUAUUCUUCCAUUUCUUUUCCCAGCGCUUGGAGGACUCCUAUAUGGUUAUGAUAUUGGUUCUACAUCCUGUGCCACAAUUUCUAUUGAGUCAGCUACCCUAAGUGGAAUUUCUUGGUAUGACUUGUCUUCUGUUGCAAUUGGUCUCAUUACAAGUGGCUCAUUAUAUGGGGCCUUGAUUGGCUCAGUCUUGGCUUUCAAUAUUGCUGAUUUUCUAGGACGACGAAGAGAGCUAAUUACCUCUGCCAUCAUGUACCUUGUUGGAGCUCUUGUGACAGCAUUUUCACCUAACUUUGCAGUUAUGGUGAUUGGACGUUUUGCGUAUGGCAUAGGGAUUGGACUGGCAAUGCAUUCUGCUCCAAUGUACAUUGCUGAGACAGCUCCAAGUCAGAUUCGUGGUCUACUAAUUUCUCUCAAAGAGUUCUUUAUAGUUCUUGGGAUGGUUGCUGGUUAUGGGAUUGGCAGCCUCUUAGUUGAAACAGUUGCUGGCUGGCGCUAUAUGUAUGGAGCAAGUACCCCUUUGGCGGUGAUCAUGGGAAUUGGAAUGUGGUGGCUUCCAGCAUCACCCAGAUGGCUGCUAUUGCGUGCCAUACAGGGAAAAGGCAAUAUGCAGGAGUUAAAAGAAACCGCAAUACGUUGUUUAUGCCGACUCAGGGGUCAAUCUAUUGGUGAAUCAGCUUCUGAGCAGGUAGAUGAGAUUUUGACUGAGCUUUCUUAUGUUGGUGAAGAAAAAGAAGUCACACUUGGGGAAAUGUUCCGUGGAAAAUGCUUGAAAGCCAUGAUUAUUGGUGUAGGUUUAGUUUUGUUUCAACAGAUCACUGGUCAACCGAGUGUGCUAUAUUAUGCUGCAUCAAUCUUUCAGAGUGCAGGAUUUUCUGCAGCAUCUGAUGCUACCCGAGUCUCUAUUCUACUUGGUUUACUGAAGUUGAUUAUGACAGGAGUAGCUGUUGUAGUUGUUGAUAGGCUUGGGAGGAGACCUUUAUUAUUGGGUGGUGUUUCUGGGAUGGUUAUUUCUUUGUUCCUUCUUGGCUCAUAUUACCUUUUCCUGGAUGAUGUGCCAGCUAUAGCUGUUGUUGCACUGCUUUUGUAUGUUGGGUGUUAUCAGUUAUCCUUUGGUCCUAUUGGUUGGCUGAUGAUCUCGGAGGUAUUUCCCCUACGUCUCAGAGGGCGAGGACUUAGUAUAGCUGUGCUUGUGAAUUUUGGAGCAAAUGCACUUGUUACAUUUGCAUUCUCUCCUCUGAAGGCAUGGCUGGGAGCUGGAAUUGUGUUUUAUGUGUUUGGAGUGAUAGCGAUAUGAACUACUUCAUCUCAGGUGCUAGCUUGCUUCCUAUCAUAAGCUCUUUGCAUGAUAUCUUGGAUUGACUUUGUAAUGUUGAGCCAAUUUCUCGUUGGCAAACUGUUCUGCAAAUAGCGCCAAGUUGAGCGUAGAUGACAACAAGACAUCAGAAAUGGUACAGCUUGGCCGUGGGAUUAGCUUCUCAAAUAGUUUUUGAACUGGCUUCUCGAGCAUGUUGGUUGCUUGGAAGAAAUUCAAGGCUUAAGCCAAAAGAAGACAGCAUAUCGAAGUUCUCACACCCUUUCUGGCAAUCCUGAUUCUAGACAUGGAAAUCGAAAUUCAACUAAACGGAUAGGGUUGCAUUAUGAGAAGUUGUGACUAUGGUUACGAUCACGCCUUGCUGUGCCAAUAAUCCAGCGAUGACUGUCAUGGGCAGAUUGGGGGUCAUAUGGCCAUGAGCCAUGAUUCCCACGAUAAAGUGAAGCUGCUCUUUCUAAACUCCUUGUUUCUUCAGAGAUACUGAUUUAAUGCUUCUUUGCAUCUUCUCUCUUGUUUUUCUCAGCCGUCAUGAUGUGUUAGAAUGUCUAAUUUAUAGAGAAAUUGAAAAAAUAGCUGUUAAGGGUGGGUUGAAGAAGAGAAUGACCAUUGAAACUUGAAGAAACUAGCCACUGGAGCCAAUCAAGCACGACUUGAUCUAUUGAUUCAAGUACCCAAUCGAUCCUCUAAUUAAGGUGAUUGAUCCACUAUAAUGGGUGAUUGAAACUUUCUUGCACUUUGAAACUAAGAUUGCUUCAUGGACGAUUACCUGAUCGAUUUUGUAGCCAAUUUCACAAGUUCCUGCUACUUUUUGCUUGAGACUGGAUCGAUCCAUACAAAGACUCGAUUGAUUCUAUCCAUGAAAUCUUAUACCCGAUCGAUUCUUUUAAUUAGGAGAUUGAUUGAUUUUUGUAA
Non-coding RNA from Durio zibethinus, 2574 nucleotides. The record is from RefSeq and is a predicted model, not a curated record. NCBI's taxonomy places the organism in Eukaryota, Viridiplantae, Streptophyta, Magnoliopsida, Malvales, Malvaceae.